This 253-nucleotide ribosomal RNA is filed under the name uncultured bacterium. RNAcentral's name for it is "partial 16S ribosomal RNA". It matches the Rfam family "Bacterial small subunit ribosomal RNA", at positions 524 to 776 of the family's 1533-position model. The record is from RNAcentral.
UACGUAGGGUGCGAGCGUUGUCCGGAAUUAUUGGGCGUAAAGAGCUUGUAGGCGGUUUGUCGCGUCUGCUGUGAAAUCUCAAGGCUCAACCUUGUGCUUGCAGUGGGUACGGGCAGACUAGAGUGUGGUAGGGGAGACUGGAAUUCCUGGUGUAGCGGUGAAAUGCGCAGAUAUCAGGAGGAACACCGAUGGCGAAGGCAGGUCUCUGGGCCACUACUGACGCUGAGAAGCGAAAGCAUGGGGAGCGAACAGG